Molecule: ribosomal RNA, 302 nt
Filed under: uncultured bacterium
Lineage: Bacteria
Description: partial 16S ribosomal RNA
Rfam family: Bacterial small subunit ribosomal RNA
Source: RNAcentral
GCAGUAGCCGCGGUAAUACGAAGGGUGCAAGCGUUAAUCGGAAUUACUGGGCGUAAAGCGCGCGUAGGUGGUUUGGUAAGAUGGAUGUGAAAUCCCCGGGCUCAACCUGGGAACUGCAUCCAUAACUGCCUGACUAGAGUACGGUAGAGGGUGGUGGAAUUUCCUGUGUAGCGGUGAAAUGCGUAGAUAUAGGAAGGAACACCAGUGGCGAAGGCGACCACCUGGACUGAUACUGACACUGAGGUGCGAAAGCGUGGGGAGCAAACAGGAUUAGAGACCCCGGUAGUCCCUGUCUCUUAUAA